UGACGGUACCUGACUAAGAAGCUCCGGCUAAAUACGUGCCAGCAGCCGCGGUAAUACGUAUGGAGCAAGCGUUAUCCGGAUUUACUGGGUGUAAAGGGAGCGUAGACGGAACAGCAAGUCUGAUGUGAAAGGCAGGGGCUCAACUCCUGGACUGCAUUGGAAACUGCUGAUCUUGAGUGCCGGAGAGGUAAGCGGAAUUCCUAGUGUAGCGGUGAAAUGCGUAGAUAUUAGGAGGAACACCAGUGGCGAAGGCGGCUUACUGGACGGUAACUGACGUUGAGGCUCGAAAGCGUGGGGAGCAAACAGGAUUAGAUACCCUG
Molecule: ribosomal RNA, 320 nt
Filed under: uncultured bacterium
Lineage: Bacteria
Description: bacterial SSU rRNA
Rfam family: Bacterial small subunit ribosomal RNA
Source: RNAcentral